UAACACUAACUGGAGGACCGAACCGACUAAUGUUGAAAAAUUAGCGGAUGACCUGUGGCUGGGGGUGAAAGGCCAAUCAAACCGGGAGAUAGCUGGUUCUCCCCGAAAGCUAUUUAGGUAGCGCCUCGUGAAUUCAUCUCCGGGGGUAGAGCACUGUUUCGGCUAGGGGGCCAUCCCGGCUUACCAACCCGAUGCAAACUGCGAAUACCGGAGAAUGUUAUCACGGGAGACACACGGCGGGUGCUAACGUCCGUCGUGAAGAGGGAAACAACCCAGACCGCCAGCUAAGGUCCCAAAGUCAUGGUUAAGUGGGAAACGAUGUGGGAAGGCCCAGACAGCCAGGAUGUUGGCUUAGAAGCAGCCAUCAUUUAAAGAAAGCGUAAUAGCUCACUGGUCGAGUCGGCCUGCGCGGAAGAUGUAACGGGGCUAAACCAUGCACCGAAGCUGCGGCAGCGACACUGUGUGUUGUUGGGUAGGGGAGCGUUCUGUAAGCCUGUGAAGGUGUGUCGUGAGGCAUGCUGGAGGUAUCAGAAGUGCGAAUGCUGACAUAAGUAACGAUAAAGCGGGUGAAAAGCCCGCUCGCCGGAAGACCAAGGGUUCCUGUCCAACGUUAAUCGGGGCAGGGUGAGUCGACCCCUAAGGCGAGGCCGAAAGGCGUAGUCGAUGGGAAACGGGUUAAUAUUCCCGUACUUGGUGUUACUGCGAAGGGGGGACGGAGAAGGCUAUGUUGGCCGGG
RNAcentral lists this ribosomal RNA (736 nucleotides) under Salmonella enterica subsp. enterica serovar Enteritidis. RNAcentral describes it as "partial 23S ribosomal RNA". It matches the Rfam family "Bacterial large subunit ribosomal RNA", at positions 757 to 1495 of the family's 2925-position model. The record is from RNAcentral. Lineage: Bacteria; Pseudomonadati; Pseudomonadota; Gammaproteobacteria; Enterobacterales; Enterobacteriaceae.